CCCAAUGUGAUGUGCACACCUACGAAUGCUU
This 31-nucleotide non-coding RNA is filed under the name Mus musculus (house mouse). The record is from RNAcentral. Lineage: Eukaryota; Metazoa; Chordata; Mammalia; Rodentia; Muridae.